This 380-nucleotide ribosomal RNA is filed under the name uncultured eukaryote. Its description in RNAcentral is "partial 18S ribosomal RNA". It matches the Rfam family "Eukaryotic small subunit ribosomal RNA", at positions 592 to 976 of the family's 1831-position model. The record is from RNAcentral.
CAAUAGCGUAUAUUAAAAUUGUUGCGGUUAAAAAGCUCGUAGUUGGAUUUCUGCUGAGAACGACCGGUCCGCCCAUUGGGUGUGUAUCUGGCUCUUUCUUGGCAUCUUCUUGGUGAACGUUACUGCACUUGACUGUGUGGAGCGCUACCCAGGACUUUUACUUUGAGGAAAUUAGAGUGUUUCAAGCAGGCAUACGCCUUGAAUACGUUAGCAUGGAAUAAUAAGAUAGGACCUCGGUUCUAUUUUGUUGGUUUCUAGAGCUGAGGUAAUGAUUAAUAGGGAUAGUUGGGGGCAUUCGUAUUUAACUGUCAGAGGUGAAAUUCUUGGAUUUGUUAAAGACAGACUACUGCGAAAGCAUUUGCCAAGGAUGUUUUCAUUGA